Molecule: ribosomal RNA, 292 nt
Filed under: uncultured bacterium
Lineage: Bacteria
Description: partial 16S ribosomal RNA
Rfam family: Bacterial small subunit ribosomal RNA
Source: RNAcentral
GUGCCAGCCGCCGCGGUAAUACGUAGGGUGCGAGCGUUAAUCGGAAUUACUGGGCGUAAAGCGUGCGCAGGCGGCUACAUAAGACAGCUGUGAAAGCCCCGGGCUUAACCUGGGAACUGCGGUUGUGACUGUGUGGCUAGAGUGUGGCAGAGGGGGGUGGAAUUCCACGUGUAGCAGUGAAAUGCGUAGAGAUGUGGAGGAACACCGAUGGCGAAGGCAGCCCCCUGGGUCGCCACUGACGCUCAUGCACGAAAGCGUGGGGAGCAAACAGGAUUAGAUACCCGUGUAGUCC